Molecule: ribosomal RNA, 52 nt
Filed under: Hygrophila schulli
Lineage: Eukaryota; Viridiplantae; Streptophyta; Magnoliopsida; Lamiales; Acanthaceae
Description: partial 28S ribosomal RNA
Source: RNAcentral
UUCCGACCGCAACCCCAGGUCAGGCGGGAUACCCGCUGAGUUUAGCAUAUCA